AGCUUGCUUCUACCGGAUCAGUGGCGAACGGGUGAGUAACACGUGAGUAACCUGCCCCAGACUCUGGAAUAACCCCGGGAAACCGGAGCUAAUACCGGAUACGAGACGGAGAGGCAUCUCUACCGUCUGGAAAGUUUUUCGGUCUGGGAUGGACUCGCGGCCUAUCAGCUAGUUGGUGAGGUAAUGGCUCACCAAGGCGACGACGGGUAGCCGGCCUGAGAGGGCGACCGGCCACACUGGGACUGAGACACGGCCCAGACUCAUACGGGAGGCAGCAGUGGGGAAUAUUGCACAAUGGGCGAAAGCCUGAUGCAGCGACGCCGCGUGAGGGAUGACGGCCUUCGGGUUGUAAACCUCUUUCAGCAGGGAAGAAGCGAAAGUGACGGUACCUGCAGAAGAAGCACCGGCUAACUACGUGCCAGCAGCCGCGGUAAUACGUAGGGUGCGAGCGUUGUCCGGAAUUAUUGGGCGUAAAGAGCUUGUAGGUGGUUUGUCGCGUCUGCUGUGAAAAUCCGGGGCUCAACCCCGGACUUGCAGUGGGUACGGGCAGACUAGAGUGUGGUAGGGGAGACUGGAAUUCCUGGUGUAGCGGUGAAAUGCGCAGAUAUCAGGAGGAACACCGAUGGCGAAGGCAGGUCUCUGGGCCAUAA
RNAcentral lists this ribosomal RNA (650 nucleotides) under uncultured bacterium. RNAcentral's name for it is "bacterial SSU rRNA". It matches the Rfam family "Bacterial small subunit ribosomal RNA", at positions 77 to 739 of the family's 1533-position model. The record is from RNAcentral.